AGCGAACGCUGGCGGCAGGCCUAACACAUGCAAGUCGAGCGGGCCCUUUCGGGGGUCAGCGGCGGACGGGUGAGUAACGCGUGGGAACGUGCCCAUCGGUUCGGAACAACCCAGGGAAACUUGGGCUAAUACCGGAUACGUGCGAGAGCAGAAAGAUUUAUCGCCGAUGGAUCGGCCCGCGUCUGAUUAGCUUGUUGGCGAGGUAACGGCUCACCAAGGCGACGAUCAGUAGCUGGCUGAGAGGAUGAUCAGCCACACUGGGACUGAGACACGGCCCAGACUCCUACGGGAGGCAGCAGUGGGGAAUAUUGGACAAUGGCGCAAGCCUGAUCCAGCCAUGCCGCGUGAGUGAUGAAGGCCCUAGGGUUGUAAAGCUCUUUCGCACGCGACGAUAAUGACGGUAGCGUGAGAAGAAGCCCCGGCUAACUUCGUGCCAGCCGCCGCUGUAAC
RNAcentral lists this ribosomal RNA (450 nucleotides) under uncultured bacterium. RNAcentral describes it as "bacterial SSU rRNA". It matches the Rfam family "Bacterial small subunit ribosomal RNA", at positions 29 to 524 of the family's 1533-position model. The record is from RNAcentral.